Molecule: unclassified non-coding RNA, 284 nt
Filed under: air metagenome
Description: partial contains small subunit ribosomal RNA, internal transcribed spacer 1, and 5.8S ribosomal RNA
Rfam family: Eukaryotic small subunit ribosomal RNA (bases 1-46)
Source: RNAcentral
AAGUCGUAACAAGGUUUCCGUAGGUGAACCUGCGGAAGGAUCAUUAUCAGAGUAGGAAGUCGUGGUUUAGCGCCCCGCUUGCGGGGGGCUGGGCCUCGACCCUCUCCACCCGUGUUUAUCGUACCCCGUUGCUUCGGCGGGCCCGCCGUUUAUUCGGCCGCUGGGGAACCGCCGGUUCCCGGGCCCGUGCCCGCCGGAGACCCCUUGAACACUGCCUGAAGGUUGCUGUCUGAGUGAUUUAUAUAAUAAAAACAAAACUUUCAACAACGGAUCUCUUGGUUCCG